Molecule: long non-coding RNA, 10865 nt
Organism: Ziziphus jujuba (common jujube)
Lineage: Eukaryota; Viridiplantae; Streptophyta; Magnoliopsida; Rosales; Rhamnaceae
Exons: 6
Source: RefSeq, a predicted model, not a curated record
UGGCAAUUAUUCCCUAGGAAACGUGGAACAUGUUUUCAUUUGUUAAUUGAUGUUGAUUUGGAUUGUUUUUUUCAAGCGUUUGCUUGCCCUUUAUUCAAAGUAGAAUUUUUCAUUGAAAAGGAUAAAAGGAAAAAGAAAACAUUUCCAUAUUUUCCCCCUCAUACUCUUUUACUCAGUAUGAUGAAGUUAUAUCAUUUUACUUUGCUCAUUUCUAGUCAUAAAUUUUUUUAAACUUUGUUAACAUUAUAAAAAAUUAUCUAUCCAAGGAUAUAUCAUCUUGAACAGACUGUGGGCGUUUGUGCAAUGGAUGGAAACGACUACAACUGAGGAAGAAUACAUAUUGAUGGCCGAACCUGAUCACAUAUUUGUAAGGCCUCUUCCUAAUUUGGCACAUGGUGAGUAUCCGGCUGGUUUUCCAUUUUUCUACAUUAAGCCUAACCAAAACGAGAAGAUCGUUAGGAAAUUUUAUCCUGGGGAGUAUGGUCCGGUUACAAAUAUGUUGACCCAAUUGGCGAUUCUCCUGUAAUUAUCAGGAAGGAUUUGUUGGAAAAGAUUUCUCCUUCCCGGAUGAAUGUUUCGUUGAGAAUGCAAGAAGAUCCGGAGACUGGUUAGACUUUUGGAUGGGUGCUGGAAAUGUAAGUGUUGGAAAAUAAGUGUUGGUUUAUUUUCUGUCCUUUCUAUUAUACCUGUACUUAUUUUUGAGGCUUCUUCUUGAUAAGGAAGGAAAUAAGUCAAACAUCAAAUCCAAUGCAUCAACGUCAUCUACUCCUAAUAUUACUCCAUCUGUUGAAGACACUCAAAUAGCAAACCAGCAACGGACACUUUCCAUACCAGUGGCCUUCUCAUAUGGCAGUAAUUCAAACAGUAGCUGAUCUGCUUUAAUUAUUUUCCUUUUUUUUUUGGUCAAUAUGGAAAGUGGAUUAUUAGCUUCCUUCCUUGUUGAAUUUCCCUUCUUACUCUCUCUUCUCGACAUCUGUAUAAAUUCUUCUCCUCUCUGUAAAGUCAAAACAACAAGAAACAAUGUACACAGCUGUUUAUUUCUUCAUGGUAUUAGAGCAUUAUUCCGCACAUAUCGCUGCCAUGGAUUCUCAAAAUGAUUUUUCCUCACAACCAAAUGCUAACACUAGAGCCCUUGUUCCACAAGAACCCAUCUUAACGAUUCAAUCCUUCCACCAGUGCACCAGUUCAGUUUUUGUCAAACUAAAUGCUUCAAACUUCCUUCUAUGGCGUUCACAGGUUAUUCCUUUAGUGAGAAGUCUCGGUAUGCACCACCAUGUGAAUUCCUACAUGAUGAAAAGGAGGCCCUUGUCAUAAAUCCAAAUCAUGGCACAUGGAUCAAUAACGAUGGGCUAUUGACAACUUGGUUGCUUAGUAUUAUGGCUAAUGAAAUUUUGAGUUUGAAUGUAGGAAUUGAUAGUGCUUAUCUGCUGUGGAAAUCCAUAGAAGACCAGCUGCUGCCAUCAACAAAGGAGCAGGAACAUGUUCUUAAGGACAGGCUUGCUUCACUCAAGAAAGGAAAAAGAAAAUAUUUCCAUAGUUUUGCCCUUCAUACUCUUUUAGUCAGUAUGAUGAGGUUAUAUCAUUUUUAUUUUGCUCAUUUCUAGUCAUAAAUUUGUUUAAAGUUUGUUAAAAUUAUAAAAAAUUAUCUACCAAGGGAUAUAUCUUCUUAAACAGACAAUGGGCGUUUGCGCAAUGAUUGGAAAAGACUACAAUUGAGGAAGAGUGUAAUAUACUGUGUGUAUAUAUAUAUAUAGAGUUAAAUAUAUAUAUAUAUAUAUAUUUUAAAAAGGUUUUAUAGCUAUUUUAUUUUAUAAAAAAAAGAAUUUUUAUAUAAUAGAUUAGGUUAUAUGUAAUAUACGGUGAAAAAUAUAUAUAUAUAUAUAUUUUUAAAAAAAGGUUUUAUAGCUAUUUUUUUAAAAGGAAAAAAAAAUUGAGUUUUUAUCCUAAUAGAUUAGGUUAUAAGUAUAUUUCAAUUUUAUUAGAAAAUUGAAAAAUAAAUAUUUAAGGAUAUUUACUCUACUUUUUGGUUUUUAUAAAAGAAAAAAAAAAUAUGUUUAUUUUUUUAUUUUACGUUGUUUUCAAUUUUGUGCCACUAGGGUAUCGGGUAAGUCUUCUUCUUCUUUUUUUUUUUUUUUUCUUCUAACCCUAAAAGUUAUUAGGGUUAAUAUUAAGGACUUCCGAUCUUAAUUUAGAGUUUUGGAAUCGAUUUAAGGUUGUUAAGGAUCUACUAUCUUUGGUGAUUUCGAUUUCUAAUCAAGUUUCGGGGCAUAAAAAGGAAGAUGUUGAAUCUUUGAAGUUGAUCAAGGUUGGUGUUUCUAAUCCUUUUAUGUUAUAUGAGAUUUAUUUGAGAUGUUUUGGGGUUAUAGAAGUAAUGAUUAAGGUUGAUUUGAAGUAUUAUUGUUAAAACCCUAAUCUGGAAUUUUUAUGGGGAUCUGUACAGAGUGACUGUUCAAAUUUAUUUAAAAUAUUUAAAGGUUUUGUUUGGCACUAAACUUUUUAUGAAUGAAAAUAUACAUAUUUAUGAAUCAGUAGAAAUUUAUUUGGGGUGAUUUAAAUAUGUUUUCAAUUGAUUAUGAAAUUUUGAAUUUAUGCAUUCUAUCUAGUUUUUCUGUGUGGCUAUAAUAUGAUUCGUGUGUAAGAAAUUUCAAAACAGACCCAAACGAAAUUAUUUUUAUUUGAAAAUUUAUAUUAUUUAUCCUCUAUAUGUAUAAUAUUAGUAUACAAAAAUUCAGCUUCAAAUUCUUUAUAUUUUGGCCGUGAUGAUUAUUUUAAAUUACUUAUAUUCAACUAUCUAAGUUUAUUUUCUGUUCGAUUCAAUAAAGAAUAAAAUUCAAUUUAAAAUAAUUUUCAAUCUUUAUUUGACCUAAUAAUUUUUAUAUAGCAUUUUUACUAUAUGUCAGGACCCGUCCAAAAUUCAUUACCGGAACCCUAGACAAGCCCUGAUCUCAGGGAAAUCCUACCGGACCCUCCAAUGGAGAAUCCGACAGAACCUCCCCUAAGGGUUGGACUUACCACAAACUUCUUGUACUGAAAACACACUUCCAUAUAUAUCCCCUUAUUCCUCCCACAAUACUACAAAUUGAUUCCACAAAUUCACAGCACUCCAAAAGAAUAACAGCAAUCCAGUGCAUAAUUAAUAACUAAAUGUCCAAUACAGUAUAUAGAGCAUUAUACAAAUAAAUGUGGAAUUUAUACAAUGAUAGAUAAGGAAGCAAUACAAGAUGGAGAGGAAAAAGGGAAGAAAUACUUCUUGGACUUUCGGCAAUGAACUGAGACGUCGGGCUCCCUCCGGACGAUCAACGUCUCCCAACCUAGACCUAAGGGAAUGGAAUUUAAAAAUAUGAGAUGCUAAUCAUCUCAGUGAGUGACCCUAACUACUGAACACUUUUAAUAUUAAUAAUAUAAUAAAUAAAGGGAUUUAAUUAAUCAAUACCAAACAAUUAAAUAAAUAAAUAAUAAUAACAAUUGAAGUAAUAUUUUCUCUCAAAACCCUCAUUUUCGGCCUUUAGAGCCUCGAUUCUCCCAAAUCGUCACGAAUUGGAGGAAAAGGACACCGGAUCUGGGUUCAAGGGGUCGGAAUUAGUGGAGAAGGACCGGCGGUGCAACUGGGUACUCGUCGGAACAGUGAUUUUUGGCGAGCCGCCACGGUCACCGGCAACUGUCGCCGGUGGCCGAUGGCUAAGAUAGGGGUUUUGUAGAUCGAGGGGAGAGGAUUCCAACAGGACCAGCGGUGAGGCAAACGGAGGCCGGACGGCGAAGAGAUCUGGGUUUGAAGAUUUUCGGCCCCUCGCUGGAAAAUACUCCGAUCCCGGUGCGUCGGAGGUCCGGUGGCCAUGAAAUUUGGUGGGCUGGCCGGACAUGAGGAGGUGGUGAGAGGUGGCUGGCUCGUGUGGCCUGAAAAUGGCCGAAAACGGGUCAAACGGCGGUGGCCGGUGGUGGAGGGGAAAAAUCGCCGUCGCCGGAAAACGCUCCGAUCCGGGCGCAUCGCCAGUUGGUUGGCCAUGCGAUUUUGAGGGUUGGCCGGGAAUGGAGAGGUGCUCCUGCCUGGCCGGUGUGUGUGGCCCUCCGGUGGUUGGACGGUGGCCAACCGAUGGUGGCCGGUCGUUUCUCUCUUUAGCUCUCUCUCUCCUCUCUCUCCUUCUCUAUCCUCCCCCCUGCCAUUUUGCCAAAAUAAAAGCCACCGUGGGUGAUACUGUUCACUCACAUGGACCUCUCAGAUGUCAACAUGUGGUGUUUCAUUGUUCACCAAUUCAAAAAUAUUAAAAUAUUACGGUAGUCGGAAAACUUCACACGUCCGUAACUUUUUAACCAGAUGUCCAAUUUAAGCGUGCUGCUAGUCUAUGAACUCGUAUCGACUAGUACUUCACAACCAUACAUGAGUCAACGCUCAAAUUUUCAUGAAUAAAAAGUCAACUCCGGCACCACUUGGACAGUUUGGAUCUCAACUUGUUUUCCUCAUAACUUUCAAACCGUAGCUCUGUUUUCAACGUGUUACUAGUCUACUAACUCGUGCCAACGUGUACUUCGUAACGGUACCUCAAUCAACUUAGAAUUCCAUCCAAGUCAAAAAGUCAACUUUUGACACCUUUGGUCAACGGUUAACUGUCAAAGUCAACAGUCAACGGACAACCUCGACUAAAGUUGGAAAAUUUCCGUUGUACUUUGGGACGGGGUGUUACAUAUAUAUUCUUUUUUUUUUUUAAUAUAUGAAGGGGGACCCACAUAUAUAAUAACCUAUAAAACACUUUAACACCUAAACACCUAACAUUUACUGACACAUGAGAGCUCUCUCUUUCUAAAAGCCUAAUCUACUUAAUGGAGUAGCUCUUUCACUCACACCAACCGAGAGCCUCCUUGGAGCUCACUUGUGUAGCUUACAUUACAUGACAGUCCAUCUCCUCUUUAUAUAGUUUUCCCAUGUCAGUUUAACAACUUAGCCAAAGCUUCUGGAUUUCUCUUCAAAGCCAGUGCUCCACUGUCAGGACCCGUCCAGGAUCUCUCACCGGAACUCUAGACAAGCCCUGAUCCCAGAAAAAUCCUACCAGACCCUCCAAGAAAAAUCCGACAGAACCUCCCCUAAAGGUUGGACUUACCACAAAUUUACCUGCACUAAAAAAUUACACUUCUACAAGCACUUCCUUAUUUCUCCCACCUUACUACAAUUUAAUCCACAACUUUCAGCACUCCAAUAAAAUAACAGGAAAUUCAUGCAGUAUUAAUACAAUAGGUCCAAUAAGUAUACAGAGCAUCAUACUACGGACGAGUGUGAAAGUUAUACAACAUAAAAUAAAAAAACAAAAAACAACAAUAAUACAACAGAAUACAAGGGAGAAGAACGCCUUGAAUCUCAACAGCAGCAACUGUCGGGCUUGCUUCUGUUGUCGUCUACCAACCCGAACCUAAGGGAACGGAAUUUAAAACAAAAAUAAUAUGAGAUGCUAAUCAUCUCAGUGAGCGACCCUGACUAGCGUAAGGAGUUAAUAACAAAGGUCAUAUUAAAUAUAUAAUAUACGAGAUAGAAAUAAUUUAAAGGAAAAGUUUCCUCUCAAAGCCCUCACACUGCACUCAAUUUAGAAAGGUUCCCUUUUUAAAAUAUUUCACAAAAUCCAGCAAUUAUAUUUCCCCAAAAUCAGGAUAGCAAAUAAAUAAUUAAUUAAAUAGUACAUAAAUGAAAUAUCAACAUUUAGAAUACAAAAUCAUGCAAAUAAUAAUAUGGAGCACCACAAUUUAUAUGAAGAUAUUUAAUCAAUAAUUACCGAUAAAAUGCAACAAUUUUUUGGAAUCCAAUGCACUCAGAAAAAUAAUCCGGAAUAAAGUAAAUUUUUAAUAACAAAUAAUAAAUCAUAUAAAAAUGCCAUGGAAAUUAUUUAUUUGAAAUAAAUGGUAAAAUUUAAAUAAACUGACCAUUUUUAAUUUGAAAAGUAUUUCCAAAUAAUAUGCUUAAAAUAAAUUUAAAACGAAAUAGCCUGACGCACUACACUAUAUAUCAGUGAUGCCCUACGGUACUCAGCGUCCCGAGCACCCUCAGGCGGGGGUUAAAGAGAGAACCAGUAUAUGGUCGCUUCGGCGUCCCGACAAUGCCGCUGCUAAAACCUGUCAUCCCGGCUUAGGAGUAGGGCGGUUAUGUAUUUUACCGGCCUGCCCUCAGGUCCUUAGGCAACUCACGGGAGACUAAAACCUACGCGCUAAUCACAACCUCAUGUAUGGUGCAGAACACCGGUACUGCAUAAGUGAGUCUAAAAUAAUUAAAAUAAAAUAAAAUAAAUACCAAUAGCCCAUUUUUAUUAUUACCAAAAAUUUCCGAAAUUUAUCGUGGGAGCUAUAAAAAUCUCCAAUCCCACAUUCCUUGCAUUUCUCACCAUAAAUCAUCAGUAUAGAAAAGAAAUAUGGUUUACUCAAACCAUGAAAUCAACCACAUCGCAUUAUAAAUGCAUAAUUACCUUUUUAAAACAUACAGUACCAUCAUAUCAAUAUUUUUUUCUUCAAAUCCUUUACAUCAAUUUUUUCCCCAAAAUAAUAUAUAAGGCUCACAAAAAUAUUUAAAUAUGUUUUCUCUUAAUAAGCCCUUGAUUAUACAUGAAAAUUCUCGGUAAAAAUAAUAAUAAUAACAAUUAAGAAUUUAAAUCAUAAAUUCUUUGAAUUUCCGCAAUAUUCAAUCAUGGCAUCAAUAUAUAUAAAUGUAUGCAUAUAACCAAUCAUCCAAAAAUUGACAGUGUAAUAUAAAUACACAAUUUAUAAAAUUCCAACCACAUACAUAUAUUUUUUUCAAAUAUUCAAAUAUCACCAAUUUAAUAUCAAUUAUCACCCGAAAAUAGUUUUAAGGUGGGUCACUCACCUCAAGUGCGUGUAUCAAUCAAGAUCCUCCGCAGGAUCAACUCCCCUACUCACCCGUGCACCUAAAAUAUCAACAUUACACAAUAUCGAUUAAAAUAAUAUUUUAAUCGUGUAAUUCUCAACCGGGUACCCGGGGGAGUAAACACAAACGACAACCAAAAUUUACAAGCAAUAUACCGAAUCGAAGCUUGCGAGGCGGGGAUUAAGAAUCCGGUCUUACUUCAUGGAGAUCGGACCGGUGGUGGCCGGAAUCUCGUCGGAAAGCUUUCGGCCUUUAGAGCCUCGAUUCUCCCAAACCGUCUUGAAUUGGAGGAAAAGGACACCGGAUUUGGAUUCAGGGGGUCGGAAUUAGUGAGGAGGGGCUGAAGACUUGACUGGGUACUCGCCGACAAUGGAUUUUCUGGCGAGCCGCCGAGCCCCACCGGAAACCUUCGUCGCCGACGGCGCGUCCGAUGGCUGGUGGCCGAGAUUUUUGAGGGUUUUGUAAAUCAAAGGGAGAGGGUUCCAAUGGAAUCGGUGGUGACAAGAAUGGAGACCAGAAUAGGAAGAUAUGGCCGGUGAAAGGAAACGGCGCCGCCGCCGAAAAAAUGGCCGAUUUGGGCACGUCGGCGGCCGGCCGGCGGUGAGAUUCGGUGGGUGGGCUGGAAUUCCCACGGGUGAGAGACCGGUCAGGUGAGUGUGGCUUGGGGUGGCUGGAAAACGUGCAAAUCGGCGGUGGCCGUUGGGUUCUCUUCCUCUCUCUUUCUCUCUCUCUCUCUCUCCUCCCUGGUUUUUCCCCUGUGAAAUGGUGAAGUAAUUCAGCCCUGGGUGCCACUGUACACACACAUGGCUUAACGAGAAUGCGACACGUGGUAUGAACAGUGCACACGUUUUACAUAAUAAAAAACAAUAAAAUAAUACGGUAAUAAGGAAACUUCGUAGAUCCAUAACUUUUUAACAGUAUGUCCAAAUUAGACGUGCCGCUAGUCUAUGAACUUGUAUUGAAGAGCACUUUACAACCAUAUAAAAGUCAAAGCAAAAUUCUACCCGUAGCAAAAAGUCAUAAUUUAACUCCAUGGUCAACCUCGGUCAACCUCGGUCAGCGUGCAAAAAUUCCGGUGUACCUCGGGAUGGGGUAUCACAUCCACAUUGCAAGCUUAGAUUUUUCUUCACAAAUUCCAAUGCUUUACUUGCCAAUCAAAUGUAUAAAAUAUACUAGUUAAUUCCAGAACCUUCGAAGUCAAUAUUGAUCCUUCAAUUCUCCCCCUCAAUAUUGACUUCCCAUUCUUUUCUUCUUGAGUGUUGAAAAUUAUCCCAUGCUUCCUUUGGUGUCUUGGGAUCUCCAAUAGGCUUCGAUAUUAUCUUCUCAAUGGUAGUCUUAAUUGCCAACAUGCCUUAGCAGCUUUGAUCUUCCACUUCAUCAAAGCAGCAGCAUUCACCAGUAACAUGCAUGAUCACCUUCAAUGAUCUCUUAGAGAUUGUAUCAUGCAAAUAUAACUCCAUAUACAACGACCACAUAUAAUAUAAUCUAUGCUAUUGAGCUUCCACAUACCCUCAAUCUUUUGAAGGUCAUCCAUCGUGGUUUAGGUGGCAAUUAUUCCUUAGAAAUUCAUCCUCCAUUAUACUUACGGAUGUGAUUACAAUUUAAAGGGUGAGCUCACAUAUGGCAAAUUUGGAGAGUGGCGAUUUGACAAGAGAUCAUACCUACGUGGACUCCAGCAAGAAACCUCUCCCUCCCGCCUCCUGGGUGCCUGAAAGUGUGGUAUGUGUAUGGGAAUAUGAUUAACCUUUAAUGAAUAUGAUUAACCUUGAAUUUCUUUCUUUCUAGUUUGAAAAGUAUAUGUUGCUUACCCCACCUUUAUUUCAUGUUUAUAUCUGAUUUAGUCUCCGUAUAGUUUAUCCAACAACUUACUGGAUGUUUUUGUUACGGGUUUACUUUUUUGCCAUUAGUUUGCCGUACUGCUAUAAAACCUCCCAACUUCCUAGCAUUCUGUUUUCACAGUUUGUCUUAAACUUCUAUGCACCGUGCUAUGUUUCUCCUAAGACAACAUAUAACUCCCAACUUUUGAUGUGCACUUUGCUUAUAUAUGCACUUUUGAUGUGCACUUGGUUUUUGUCCUAAAAAACAGGUUAUUUAUUUAUGGGGAAGCUAGAGACUUUGAAUAUAUAUUUUUUUUCUAGAUAAGUUGCAUCGAGGAUAACUGACCUGAGUGAAUUGUAUAAGCACGUAUAACGGGUACAUGCUUUAUUAUAUAAUUGGUGCUUUUUCUAACCAAAAAGAAAAGAAGACAAAAAGAUAAAGGUACUUUUGCUUGAAGCUUGGAAAGGGAUGCUAGAGGACUGAUGACUAAUAAUGACCUUGACACGGAUGGUGGAGUAGCUCUGGGACUUUUGGUUGCCCCCACAUGAGGUGUAAAGCAACCUAAGUAAGGUUCAUUGUUUGGGCCCCAUCCUCCCAUGGGUCCCUCACUCAUAAAUCACUCUAAAUAAGAGUUCCCUAAAGUCAGGAAUGGCGGGGCAUCAACUCAACAGGCAUUGCAAACAUGGGGUGAAAGAAAAAGAAGAUAUUACCUUAUUAUACUUUCAGAAAGAUAAGGAGAGCUCUUCCUCAUGCUAAGAGACGAGUAGUAGCUAGAAGAGGACGUUCAUGCCCCUUACCUAAGGGUGUAAGUGAAUACUUUUCAAAUCUAGUAGAGUCCAGUUGAAAUAAAAGCAAAAUUGGUAAGUAAGUAAUAUGAUAGCUUAAAACUCAAAAAUGUGAUCCACGUUAUAGUUGAUUAUACCAGUGGUGAAGAUAAGGAAAGUGAUAUUUUUGUUUGAUAGCAUCUGCCGUCGCUUGAUUGGACGAAAGCAAAAGGAAAAAAAAAAUGAAAAGAAAAAUGUGGUGUUACAAAAUCAUUCUUAAUGGACAAUACAAUAAUGUUUCUUGGUGCCUUAGCUUGACCCCAUCUACUCAAAAUUAUUGAGGGGGUGAGCCAAAUUCAAUGUCCAAGUCCAAUUAUUCACUUUCUGUCUUAAGCUUCUAAUAUUGAUUCUGCCAUUCUUGGUUCUUCUGGAAAUUGAAAUUUCUCUCUUCUUCUACACUGUCUGGCGCUAAUUUGCUUCAAGUUUCUGUAGUCUUCACUCGUUCCAAUCUUCACCAAAACAGAGUUUCACACUUGCUGGUAGUUUACUGUCGUUGUGUGAAUCCUAAGCCCACCUUGAGAAAACAGAGCUACGCAUUUCCUGGUUUGCGCUUGUCCCCUUCUUUUGUUGCUGUCGCCGACUCGCUAUCUUUCUACUUUUAAAUUCUAGUAUUCACUUUGCAAAAUUUUAAAAAAAUAAAUAAAUAAAUAAAAAUUAUUAAGCAGUUCCUUUGUCGGUGUGAAAAGUCAGUUCUUCUGUUUCAUCCUUUUCUGGUCAUCUUUGUUCAUUUUGUAGUAGAUUUGCUGGUUUGCCCUCUUCACUUUGCAAAUUUAGAAAGAAAAAAAAUAUAUAUAUUAAGCAGUUCCUCUGUUGGAUUGAAAAGUCAAUUUCUCUGUUCCUUCGAUCUACCGGUUUGCUCUCCUCAUUUGUUUUUACUUUUCUAUUCUACCCCUUUUUAAUUUCUGACAAACCCUGCAUUUACUUGGCCCCCAAAAAAAAAAAAAAAAAAAAUUAAACAUACUCUUUCUUGAAGCUUCACACUAUUGGCAUUGCAAAAGAUAUGUUGGAUAAUAUGCAAAGUGUAUUUAAAAUUGGAGGCUUGGAUAAAAUGGAGGAGCUUAAGAAAAUAUUACUUUGGUAAAAGAAAGGAAAGUGGCCGAGACUAAUUCUAAUUUGAAGGAAGAGAAGAGCUAAAAAAUAAAGAAGGAAUGCACAUUAUAAUUGCUCUUUCUAAUUUUUCAUUGCUAAAUUAUCAAAUUCUCUCCAAAAAGUUUGAAGUUUAAUGGAGAUUACCUUUUCAUGGCCUCCAAAUUGUUGUUUUAGAAUUUCCCAUGCAGCUCUAGAUUUUGCUGCAUUUGAUAUUCUAGGGAAGAUGCUUUUACUUACCCCUUGUUGAAUGAAAAGCAGUGCUCUUGCAUUUCUUUGGA